Molecule: ribosomal RNA, 118 nt
Filed under: Steinernema carpocapsae
Lineage: Eukaryota; Metazoa; Nematoda; Chromadorea; Rhabditida; Steinernematidae
Description: partial 18S ribosomal RNA
Rfam family: Eukaryotic small subunit ribosomal RNA
Source: RNAcentral
GCGAUGUUGAACGUUUUCGGACGGUCUUUGUUGCGAGAACCGCGUUAAUCGAAUCGGCUUGAACCGGGCAAAAGUCGUAACAAGGUUUCCGUAGGUGAACCUGCGGAAGGAUCAUUAU